CGCCAGACUCCUACGGGAGGCAGCAGUGGGGGAUAUUGCACAAUGGGGGGAACCCUGAUGCAGCGACGCCGCGUGGGUGAAGGAGCGUUUCGGCGCGUAAAGCCCUAUCGGCAGGGAAGAAGGAGGACGGUACCUGACUAAGAAGCCCCGGCUAACUACGUGCCAGCAGCCGCGGGAAUACGUAGGGGGCAAGCGUUAUCCGGAUUCACUGGGUGUAAAGGGAGCGUAGACGGCGGCGCAAGUCUGGAGUGAAAGCCCGGGGCCCAACCCCGGGACUGCUCUGGAAACUGCGGCGCUGGAGUACGGGAGGGGCAGGCGGAAUUCCUGGUGUAGCGGUGAAAUGCGUAGAUAUCAGGAGGAACACCGGCGGCGAAGGCGGCCUGCUGGACCGUGACUGACGUUGAGGCUCGAGAGCGUGGGGAGCAAACAGGAUUAGAUACCCUAGUA
Molecule: ribosomal RNA, 447 nt
Filed under: uncultured bacterium
Lineage: Bacteria
Description: partial 16S ribosomal RNA
Rfam family: Bacterial small subunit ribosomal RNA
Source: RNAcentral